GAUGAACGCUAGCGGCAGGCCUAACACAUGCAAGUCGAGGGGCAGCGGGAAAAGCUUGCUUUUUGCCGGCGACCGGCGCACGGGUGCGUAACGCGUAUACAAUUUGCCUUAUACAGGGAGGAUAGCCCGGAGAAAUUCGGAUUAAUAUCCCAUAAUAUUGUGUAAUCGCCUGAUUAUAUAAUUAAAGACUACGGCGGUAUAAGAUGAGUAUGCGUCUGAUUAGCUAGUUGGUGAGGUAACGGCUCACCAAGGCGACGAUCAGUAGGGGGCCGUGAGAGGGUUAUCCCCCACACUGGUACUGAGACACGGACCAGACUCCUACGGGAGGCAGCAGUGAGGAAUAUUGGUCAAUGGAGGCAACUCUGAACCAGCCAUGCCGCGUGUAGGAAGAAUGCCCUAUGGGUUGUAAACUACUUUUAUUGGGGAAGAAACCCUUCUACGUGUAGAAGGCUGACGGUACCCAAGGAAUAAGGACCGGCUAACUCCGUGCCAGCAGCCGCGGUAAAGUCAGUG
This 513-nucleotide ribosomal RNA is filed under the name uncultured bacterium. RNAcentral describes it as "bacterial SSU rRNA". It matches the Rfam family "Bacterial small subunit ribosomal RNA", at positions 28 to 530 of the family's 1533-position model. The record is from RNAcentral.